AUUGAACGCUGGCGGCAGGCUUAACACAUGCAAGUCGAGCGGGGUGAUGGUGCUUGCACUAUCACUUAGCGGCGGGCGGGUGAGCAAUGCUUAGGAAUCUGCCUAUUAGUGGGGGACAACAUCUCGAAAGGGAUGCUAAUACCGCAUACGUCCUACGGGAGAAAGCAGGGGAUCACUUGUGACCUUGGGCUAAUAGAUGAGCCUAAGUCGGAUUAGCUAGUUGGUGGGGUAAAGGCCUACCAAGGCGACGAUCUGUAGCGGGUCUGAGAGGAUGAUCCGCCACACUGGGACUGAGACACGGCCCAGACUCCUCCGGGAGGCAGCAGUGGGGAAUAUUGGACAAUGGGGGGGACCCUGAUCCAGCCAUGCCGCGUGUGUGAAGAAGGCCUUAUGGUUGUAAAGCACUUUAAGCGAGGAGGAGGCUCUUUUGGUUAAUACCCAAGAUGAGUGGACGUUACUCGCAGAAUAAGCACCGGCUAACUCUGUGCCAGCAGCCGCCGUAA
This 503-nucleotide ribosomal RNA is filed under the name uncultured bacterium. RNAcentral's name for it is "partial 16S ribosomal RNA". It matches the Rfam family "Bacterial small subunit ribosomal RNA", at positions 30 to 523 of the family's 1533-position model. The record is from RNAcentral.